This 5493-nucleotide long non-coding RNA is filed under the name Gossypium barbadense (sea-island cotton). RNAcentral describes it as "long non-coding RNA (GBAR_LNC020898)". Lineage: Eukaryota; Viridiplantae; Streptophyta; Magnoliopsida; Malvales; Malvaceae. The record is from RNAcentral.
GAAAAAGCAUCAAUCGGGCGAGCAGGACUGCGCCAGACAAGUUUCUUGAGGCUACUCGCCAAAUUCAAGACUCACCAAGGUUGGGUUUUACAUUCUCUGUAGCUCUUGAGCAACUUUUAUGUGAGAAAGGAAGCUUUGCUUGCUUUCCAAAUUGACAUGCAUCUCAUCAGCUUUUUCACAGAUAAUUGGUGGAUUUUUCACAAGUUUAUUUGUAUAUAUAUAUCUCAAGGUUGAAUUAUUUAUAAUUCCCAAUUCCUUUAUGCCAUAAGAUAUAAUCAUCCACUACACUAGCAUAAGCAUUCAAAUAAAAUUGUUUCCAUUCUUUUGGAAAAAUUUUGUUCUUUAUUUUGACUAUCAUCAAUUGAAAACCAAUAGGGUAAAAAAUGAAACAUGAUAUAUCAUAAAAGUGAAAAUAAAAGUUUUUUUUUCUAAAAUUUGUCCUACAUUCAACAAGCUUUGCCUUACAUCAGGUACAAAUAAAACAUAAAAAAUAAACCUUGUACCCAAAGAAGUUUCGACUUCAAUCAUUCAUUUUCCUUUGACAUCUACAAGCUCUCCAUUUCCAAUCUUCACUUUGGAGAAAUAAGACUUGUCCAACUCCUUAAAAAGACUUGCAUCAUGAGUCAUAUUAUUGGUGUAUCCACUAUCCACUAGCCAUGUUUCUGUUCCACUAUUUGCAGCACAACAAGUAGCAAUGAAGAGAAUUUCUUCUUCUUGUUCGAGCUUUUUAGCAACUUGAGCGUGGCCUUUUUUAUUUGCUUUGUUUUUGCAAACCUGCUCCAUAUGUCUUAGUUUAUUACAAGCUCUACAUUUUAUCCCUGGUCUAAAUUAGAAAAACUUUUUAAUAUGAUUUCUUUUCUUGUAAUAAGAACAAGGUUAAUACCUUGUUCUUUUUUUCUUUCCUAAUUAUGGUCAUCCCCUUCUUUCUUCACUUUGUUUUUCCUUUCACCAGGUUGUUUUUUUAAAAAAUGUUGUUGCCAUGUUUGUCUUUAAGCUUAGUUUGAAAAGCUCCUUCUGUUGACUCCUCAAGUCUAAUAGCCAUUCUAUGUUCUAAAUCUUGAAGAGCAUUUACUAAUUCUAUCAAGUUAAGUUUUAAGGUGUCUUUCAAGUCUUCUAAAGAGGAAUUUUUUACUCAAAUGUCUUUGGAACACUGGCCAGCACCUUUUCAACUAUCCUCUUGUUUGACAACUACUUUUCAUGAAACCUAAUUUGGUUUACGAGCUUCAUAAGCUUUUUCAGAAUACUCUUUCAUCUGUAGAACCUCGAACCCUCUCUACAAAUUUAGCAUUUGAAUUUUAUUUAUUCUGUCACUUCGUUGGAACUCUUCCUUAAGCUUGUCCCAUGUUUCCUUUUCAGUUUUACAGGUCAUUAUCCUUGUGAAAAUCUCAUCUGUUACAGAAGAGUGAAUGGAAGAGAGAGCCUUGUAUUCCUUAGCACCCUUUCAUUGUGUUGCUUGAUUUGAGCAACAAUUGGAUUUUCUCUCAAGGGAUGCACAUCUCUACUUGUUUCUACAACAUCCCAUAGGUCAAAAUCCCAUCUUCACUGCCCAAAUAGGGUAGUUUUCUCUUAUAAAUACAGAAGGAUUUGGGGUUGUAAAGCUACUAGAGGCCAUGUCAAGUUUUAAGAAUUUUUUGGUGUAGAAGAAGAAGGUUUUUUUCUAGUUUUUUAGCUCACGCACAAUCCCUCAAUAUUUUUUAAGAACUGAUACCAUGUUAAGCUAUGGAAGAAAAUAACAUGAGAGAGUUGAAAUGAAAAGGAAAAGAAAACUAAGAAAAAUUUUAAAAUAAAAUAGUCAUUGUUCCAUUAAGAUUUUGGCGCAUAAUACACAAAAAGCUACUGUUGUUGUAGUUGUUAAUCAUAUCCCACAAAUUUAGCAAGUAUUACAUCAAUAAGAUUAUAUCACCUAAUCAAAUGAAAACAGGCAAAUUAGGUGCAUCAUGCUUGACUUCUUAUAACUACUUUGUCAAGCUACAAAAAACAACUGACGUAAUACUCUUAGAAUAUCUAAGAAAAAUCUCAGGUAUCUAAUAUAUAGCUUUUAAUAGUAAAGGUUGAGGAUCAUUAAGUUUGGUUGAGACAAAAUUAGAGCAUGUACUAUGACAUAAUAGUGGAGUUAACUCUAGAUAAUGCCCUACAUACAUUGUCUUAAAAUCGACCUGCCUAAACAAUUAUGAUAUUCUUGCUUUAUUCAUUAUGUUUCAUUUUAUUCCUUAUUACAAAAAAAAACCUACAACAAAAUUGCAACCACACUUUCCUCUUUUGGCAUGACAUCCUACCACUUAAAAUAAUUGAUAUGAUCAUGUGUUUUGUUAUUUGAAAUGGAAUCCAUGAAAGAAGGAAACUCAACUUCAUUCUGCCUUUAUUAGAGGAUUCCAACUUUGCUUACAAAAACAUUUGGAUGAGACUGUUCAUUAAAUCCAUUGAUGAAAAGGCAUAAAGGAUUAUCCUUACUGGUUAGGAGCCAUUAUCAUACUAAAAAUACAUAUUAGACAUGAUCUAUAAAAUUGGAGGCGUUGAAGGGCUAUAGAUUAAAUAAAUACAACAAAUUAAAACUUUUAAACUUUAAAUGAUAUUUUCAAUAGUGUUAAUUCUUAAAAAUUUAAACGCAUCUCUAAAUGUGUAUUUGCUAGAGAAGCUUAGAGGAUUCUCACAACAACUCAGGAUGGAACACAAUGAGUGGAAUCAUCAAAAUUAUUUAUACUUACAAUUCGAUUUGAAUGCCUAAUAAUGUUUGAAAAUAAAUUAUCAGAUGAAAUCUAUGUUAAUUAUUUGAUAUUAGUAAUAGGCUUUUUCUUUUUGUGAGGAAUAUUAUGAGGGGUAAUUGGUUUAAAAGGUACAUUAAAUUCACAACAAUAAAAGAGGAAAAAGACAUCAACACGAUGAAAGUGUAACACCCUAAAAUUGGGCCUAAGAGUUUUAGGGGUAUAGGAAUUUUAGCUCUAUAGUGCUCGAAAGACCUAGUAGCAUGGUGAACUGGAAAAAUAAUCGAAAAUGGCUUUUUGAUUGUUAAAUAAAUUUUUGAAAAUAAUGUUCCAAAGGCUUUCAAUUUUGAAUUAGAUACUAAUUUAUAAAAGGGUCAAAAUUCUGUGUGUUUAUCAAGCAAAUAAACCAAAAUUUAAAAUUCAGCCUAUAUCUCCCCCAUCUAGAUUAUUUUCAAGUUAACUUCUCCCUUUUAUUUGCUCUUGCUCUCUUAUGCUCUCCAAACUCCUCCCAUACAAUUUUCUUUGUCAAACCUCAAUUCCUUUUAUUCCUAUCACUUUCCAAAUACUUGAACCUCCAUAAAAUCCAAGAAAAACACCCAAAAACACCAUAGAUUCCUCCAUUGUGAAGCUUGUAGGCUUUUUGGGUUUUCGAUCAAACACUCAAUUUUUCAUUAACUAAGUUAACAAUUCAAUUCUUAAUUAGUUUUAAAUUAUAUCUGGUCUUUUAAACGAAACUUUUAGCCAUUAAAUCCUAUGUUUUAAAUAAAAGUAAAAAAUUGGGUCGUUAAUGGUGGAUUUUGGGAUUUUGGGUAAAAAUGUGGUUUCAAAGCAUUUUUCAACUUGCUUUAACAUGAUUAGAAGGUUUCUAAACUUACUUUAAAGUUUAGUUAAGGAUUUCUAAGGAUUUAAUGAAUUUUCGCGAAAAUAGUCAUAAACAUGUCAAAAAAUUUGAUACCAUGAAUUGAGUAGUUUUGUGUAAUUUAAAGGUUGAGAAUUAGUCGUAGGUGAAUAAUAAGAUGAACAUAAUUGGUUUUAGGCAAAAGGAGUAAGUAUAGAGGAAGAAAUUUGAGUUUCAAGUUUGUUAGUCGAAAUUUCAGUUUUAUGAUUGUGUAUAUUGUGUGGUUAUUAUUUGUAAAACAUCAGAAUUGUUGAAACCUUCUUCGAGCAAGGCUAAAGGCAAGAAAAAGUUAAUUUAAGCUUUUAGCUUUUCGGUGAAAGCGUAAUUAGUGAGUGUUCAAAAUUGCUGCUAGUAGAAACGAUUCAUAGUGUUAAUUGGGAGCUUAGGAAUAGCCUAAAUCCCUAUCCUAAGUUUUGAGUGUAAGCUUUCUAUUUCACUUGUUUUAUUUUUUGGUAAAUUAUAUGAUUUUGAGAAUAUUUAUGGAUUGAUUAUUAAGAUGUGAUAUUCUGAUAUGAGACAUGUGUGAUGACUAUUGUGAAUUUUAUUGUAUUGUGUUGUGGGAAUAUUAAAUAUGUCGAACAAUAGUGAUGAUGUUGUGCUAGCAUUAUAAAUGUCUAAUGAAAGUGUGCAAAAAUAGGUAAGUACGUAUGUGUUGAAUUAUGGAAAGUAAUGCUAAUGUAAUAGGUUAUUUAUGUUAUAAAUUGAUUUUAAUGCACUCAUAUGUGGUUGGAUACAUGAUGGAUCAAUGAGCAUUAUUGUGGCACUUUAAGUGCAAUUAAAUGUAAAUUUGAUAAGCAUGCAUUGUGUGUAAGUUUGUGAUGUGAAUUGAUGAAUAUGAAUAGAGAUAUGUGUAUUAAAUCAGUAAUUAAAAUUGCGUAAUUAUGGGUAUUUUGGCCUUAAGACCUUAUGAGACCGUUGGAUAUAGCUGACAUGCCAUGGGAUUGUAAGUACUUACCUAUAUGUGUUUUGUGAUUUGGUCGUUGAGGCCCUAGGACAUGUUGGAGAGAUAAGGGAAUGUGAGCUAAUCUCUAUUCAACGAGACAUGUUUAGUGUGUUGGAGAGUGUUAGCUUUAUGCUUCAUUUUUGGGAUAUGUUCGACUCUAUGAGCCAUUUGGUGUGUUGGAGAUCCGUGUAUCCGAUGUGUAGUGGUAGAGCCCACUUUCUCAAGUGUCAAGAUAUAUUAAAAUAUAUAUAUGUGUAAUUUGAUGUAUGCCGAAAUGAGUAUAUGGUUGCUAUGGAAAUUAUCAUUUAAAUGUGAUCUUAUUUAUUGUGGUAAUACGAUGUAAGAUGGAUGCUUAAACAUGUGAAUAAUAUGCUAAAUGAGUUGAUUUAAGUUUCAUGAAAAUUUUAGGAAGUUCUCACAAUAAAUUGCAUAUGUAAUUGUGGUUUGGAUCGUUUCCAUUUAACUUGUGAAUACAUGUGAAUAUAUCAGAUAGACUUGUGGGUUAUUAAAGCAUGUAUACACCAUUUAGCUUUGAUGAAUUAUUGUUAAAUGAAUUAUAUAUAAGUGAGUUAAGUGCAAUUGCAUGUAGGAGUAUAUGUUGGUUUUAUGACUUAAUGAAACAUGAAUAUGUUAUUUUGACUUGAAUAGAAUAUGGUUGUGAACGUGGUCUAGUAUACUCUUGUUUAACCUUUGAUAUUGUGUGUACAUUAUGGUUAUUCUGAGCAUUCACUGAGCUGUUUAAGCUCACCACUCCUUUUUAACCAUUGCAGAUAAGUAGUUCCGGUGUGAGCGGUGUGGUCUUGAGGGGUGAACCAAGCCAGAUACUUUAGUUGCUAUUAGAAGGUGUUAUUUGAUUAUUUUUGUUUUGGGAAUAAAAGGCAAUGUGAUUGAUGUUAUGUUGGCUUUGCUAUGAUUUUUAGUUUUUGCAUGCCUAUUAUACUUGGAAAUUG